RNAcentral lists this long non-coding RNA (327 nucleotides) under Micromonas commoda. Its description in RNAcentral is "long non-coding RNA (MCOM_LNC000286)". Lineage: Eukaryota; Viridiplantae; Chlorophyta; Mamiellophyceae; Mamiellales; Mamiellaceae. The record is from RNAcentral.
ACACCUCCGUCGUCGCGUUCAGCGUCCGUCCCGUCCAGGACCACAACGAGGUCACCUACCACUUCCUCGAGGCUGUCUACUGCAACUCGCACAACGCGCAGCGAGCGGAUGCCAAGCCGGCGGCUGGCACCGCGUACGCCGCGCCCUCCUCGGCGCCCGCGUCCGCGCCCGCCGUCGACCCCGGCGGAAGCUGCGUGGACCAGGCCAAGGCGAUCUUCGAGGGUCCCGACGGGCGCCGCGACGAGGGCGUGAAGAUCGACGUCGUCGUGCAGCAGCUCAACGGGCGGUUCACCGAGGCACAGGUGCGCGAAGCCGUGGAGCACCUGG